RNAcentral lists this ribosomal RNA (497 nucleotides) under uncultured bacterium. Its description in RNAcentral is "partial 16S ribosomal RNA". It matches the Rfam family "Bacterial small subunit ribosomal RNA", at positions 28 to 507 of the family's 1533-position model. The record is from RNAcentral.
GAUGAACGCUGGCGGCGUGCCUAAUACAUGCAAGUCGAGCGAACAGACGAGGAGCUUGCUCCUCUGACGUUAGCGGCGGACGGGUGAGUAACACGUGGAUAACCUACCUAUAAGACUGGGAUAACUUCGGGAAACCGGAGAUAAUACCGGAUAAUAUAUUGAACCGCAUGGUUCAAUAGUGAAAGACGGUUUUGCUGGCACUUAUAGAUGGAUCCGCGCCGCAUUAGCUAGUUGGUAAGGUAACGGCUUACCAAGGCAACGAUGCGUAGCCGACCUGAGAGGGUGAUCGGCCACCCUGGAACUGAGACACGGUCCAGACUCCUACGGGAGGCAGCAGUAGGGAAUCUUCCGCAAUGGGCGAAAGCUUGACGGAGCAACGCCGCGUGAGUGAUGAAGGUCUUCGGAUCGUAAAACUCUGUUAUUAGGGAAGAACAAAUGUGUAAGUAACUAUGCACGUCUUGACGGUACCUAAUCAGAAAGCCACGGCUAACUACGUG